UGCGUAGGCGGUCGGGUAAGUCUGAUGUGAAAGCUCUGGGCUUAACCCAGAAAUGGCAUUGGAUACUAUUCGGCUUGAGAGUUGGAGGGGGGACUGGAAUUCUCGGUGUAGCAGUGAAAUGCGUAGAUAUCGAGAGGAACACCAGUGGCGAAGGCGAGUCCCUGGACAACUUCUGACGCUGAGGCACGAAAGCUGGGAGCAAACA
This 205-nucleotide ribosomal RNA is filed under the name uncultured bacterium. RNAcentral's name for it is "partial 16S ribosomal RNA". It matches the Rfam family "Bacterial small subunit ribosomal RNA", at positions 568 to 774 of the family's 1533-position model. The record is from RNAcentral.